CACCAAGGCGACGAUCAGUAGCUGGUCUGAGAGGACGACCAGCCACACUGGAACUGAGACACGGCCCAGACUCCUACGGGAGGCAGCAGUGGGGAAUUUUGGACAAUGGGCGCAACCCUGAUCCAGCCAUGCCGCGUGAGUGAAGAAGGCCUUCGGGUUGUAAAGCUCUUUUGUCAGGGAAGAAACGGUUGUGGCUAAUAUCCAUGGCUAAUGACGGUACCUGAAGAAUAAGCACCGGCUAACUACGUGCCAGCAGCCGCGGUAAUACGUAGGGUGCAAGCGUUAAUCGGAAUUACUGGGCGUAAAGCGUGCGCAGGCGGUUUUGUAAGUCUGACGUGAAAUCCCCGGGCUUAACCUGGGAAUUGCGUUUGAAACAC
Molecule: ribosomal RNA, 377 nt
Filed under: uncultured bacterium
Lineage: Bacteria
Description: bacterial SSU rRNA
Rfam family: Bacterial small subunit ribosomal RNA
Source: RNAcentral